GGGACUUACUGAAGCUUCAUUGCUCCAUGGGAAUGACCUCUUCCGUGGUGACCCCUGUGGGGGUGUGGUAAGUCUGUGUGCUCCAUCAAGGGAGGUGACGGGUGUAGCUGAUUCCCCAUGGGAACUGGCUGGAACAGUGGACACAGUUGCUCCCUUAGAAGAAGCACCAGGCAGAGGUACUUCCUCUGGCAAUGCAGAAGGCACAGGCGCUCUCUUAGGGGAUGUGGUGGGUACAGGUACUUCUCUGGGGGAUGCACAGGACAUAGGUGCUUCCUCAGUGGACCUGGACGGUACAGGUGCUUCCACAGGGGGUGCAGCAGGCACAGGGGCUCCCUUGGAGGACCUGUUCAGAAGAGGUGCUCCCACUUCAGUAGACCCAGCGGGUACAGAUGCUCUCUCAGGGGACCUGGCCAGACGAGUUGCUCCCUCAGCGGAGGUGGUGAGUAAAGAUGCCUCCUUGGGGUAUGCAGUAGGCACAGAUGCAUUUAGAGGUGACCUGGCUGGAACAGGUGCUUCCUCCAAGGACGCUGCAGGCACAUGUGCUGCCUCAGAGGAUCUGGCUGGAAGAUGUGCUCCCUCAGGGGAGGUGGUGAGUACAGAUGCCUCCUCAGGGUAUGCAGCAAGCACGAAAGACUUCAGAGGUGACCUGGCUGGAAGAGGAUCUCCCUCAGAGGACCUGGUUGGAAGAGGUGCUCCCUCAGGGGAUGCACCAGGCAAAGGUGUAUCCUCAGGAGUCCUGGCCAGAUCAGGUGCAUCCUCAGGGGAUGCAACAGAAUCAGGUUGCCCAGGGGAUGUGGUGGGAACAGGUGUCCUGGAAGAUGUAGGUCGUCCCAUGGGUUUCCUUAGGGGCAAAGGCGUUAAGAUGAUAUUUCUUGUCACAUACUGCCUGAUAUUUUCAGGGACCCUUAUUUUUCUGUUCAGUGGGGGCCUGGCAGGCACAGGUGCUCCCUGUUGGGACCCAUUGGCAGCAGUUACUCCUUGCAGGGUUCUGGCCAGAACAGGUGCUUCCUCGGGGGAUGCAACAGGCACAGGUGCUUGCUCAGGGGAUGCUGGGGGUAUAGGUCGUCCCAUGAGUUGCCUUAAAGGCAAAGAUGUUAAGAUGGAUUUCCUUGUCAGAUACUGCCUCAUAUUUUCAGGGAUCCUCAGUUUCUGCCUCAGUGGGGGCCUAGCUGGCACAGGUGCUUCCUGUUUGGACCCGUCAGGAACAGUUGCUCCUUGCAGGGUUCUGGCCAGAACAGGUGCUUCCUCGGGGGACGCAACAGGCACAGGUGCUUGCUCAAGGGAUGCUGGGGGUAUAGGUCGUCCCAUGGGUUGCCUUAAAGGCAAAGGUGUUAAGAUGGAUUUCCUUGUCAGAUACUGCCUCAUAUUUUCAGGGAUCUUCAGUUUUUGCCUCAGUGGGGGCCUAGCUGGCACAGGUGCUUCCUUUUGGGACCCGUCAGGAACAGUUGCUCCUUGCAGGUUCCUGGAAAGCACAGGCACUUCCCAUUGAGACUCGUCCGGAACAGUUGGUCCUUGAAGGUUCCUGGAAAGCACAGGCAUUUCCCAUUGAGACUUGUCCGGAACAGUUGGUACUUUUGUGGUCCUGGAAGACACAGGCACUUCCUGUUGGGACCCGUUGGGAACAACUGGUCCUUUUAGGAUCCUGGAAGGCACAGGCACUUCCUGUGUGGAGCUGACAGGAACAGGUGCUCCUUGUGGGGCCUCUAUUUCCUGGUCUAUAGGGAGGUCCCCACACUCAACCUUCUCACAUGAGGAGCGUAAAUGGUCUUCGAUCUCCAUCACUGCCCACCACCGCCCAGCAAGGAGGGCUGUGAUGAGCUCCUCAUGCUCAUCAAAGGGGAUGAGGGUUUCUGUUUUUUGGAUAAGCAUCUUUGAUGGAAUUAAGACAAGUUAUCCAAAAAAAGUGUAUAAUUUCAAACGUUUUUUAAACAAUUAACUGUAUCUGUGAAACACUGUAAGAGAAAGAGAGAGAAGAGGUGAACAAAUAAAAGCAGGUUCAUUUUUUUAAGACUAGGCUAUGCCUACAGGAUGCAAAGGAGGAUGAGUCUUUGCAAAAAAUGUAUUAAAAAUGUUCACAGCAACUAAGCAGAUUAACUUGUGUUGUAAUAAUUGUACCAAUGAAUAUGCAUAACAGAGAUGCAUAUAUUGUGAGCCAUAUAAUGUAAAAACACAUAAUUUUUCUUAUAUACGCGGUUGUCUAUAGGCUAUAAGUUUUAUUUUUUUCUUUAUUAUUAUAUUAAUUACUUGUUAUAGCACUUAUAUUUAAUUGCUCUUUUGUUGUUUUUGAUUGCUUCCAUUGUCCUCAUUUGUAAGUCGCUUUGGAUAAAAGCGUCUGCUAAAUGACUAAAUAU
Cyprinus carpio carpio is the source of this 2351-nucleotide long non-coding RNA. The record is from Ensembl. Lineage: Eukaryota; Metazoa; Chordata; Actinopteri; Cypriniformes; Cyprinidae.